This 397-nucleotide ribosomal RNA is filed under the name uncultured bacterium. Its description in RNAcentral is "partial 16S ribosomal RNA". It matches the Rfam family "Bacterial small subunit ribosomal RNA", at positions 523 to 918 of the family's 1533-position model. The record is from RNAcentral.
AUACGUAGGGGGCGAGCGUUGUCCGGAAUGAUUGGGCGCAAAGGGCGCGUAGGCGGCCGCUUAAGUCUGGAGUGAAAGUCCUGUUUUCAAGAUGGGAAUUGCUUUGGAUACUGGGGGGCUUGAGUGCAGGAGAGGUUAUCGGAAUUCCCGGUGUAGCGGUGAAAUGCGUAGAGAUCGGGAGGAACACCAGUGGCGAAGGCGGGUAACUGGACUGCAACUGACGCUGAGGCGCGAAAGUGUGGGGAGCAAACAGGAUUAGAUACCCUGGUAGUCCACACUGUAAACGAUGAAUGCUAGGUGUAAGAGGUAUCGACCCCUUUUGUGCCGGAGUCAACACAAUAAGCAUUCCGCCUGGGGAGUACGGCCGCAAGGUUGAAACUCAAAUGAAUUGACGGGG